This 76-nucleotide transfer RNA is filed under the name Psychrosphaera saromensis. Its description in RNAcentral is "tRNA-Val". It matches the Rfam family "tRNA". Rfam says of the family: Transfer RNA (tRNA) molecules are approximately 80 nucleotides in length. Their secondary structure includes four short double-helical elements and three loops (D, anti-codon, and T loops). The record is from RNAcentral. RNAcentral also lists the same sequence under 8 other names. Lineage: Bacteria; Pseudomonadati; Pseudomonadota; Gammaproteobacteria; Alteromonadales; Pseudoalteromonadaceae.
GGGCGGUUAGCUCAGCUGGGAGAGCAUCGCCCUUACAAGGCGAGGGUCACUGGUUCGAGCCCAGUACCGCCCACCA